UUAAUAGAUAUCAUUUGUUUUUCCUGUUAAUGGUGGUUUUACAAUGGAGUUGGCUGUUGCUUAGUUUUGUUCUAGUGGAAUUGGCAGCCAUGAAGUGACUCUUGUAGAUUUUGAGCUCUAUUGAACUUCUUGGCGAUCUUCUUUUCAAGGUUGCUGGAACCUUUGGAAGAGCAAUUCUUGAGCUUGGGAGUGAUGACGAAGGUCGAAGCACAGAGGCACAUGACCCCACAAUUAUUG
This is a long non-coding RNA of Zingiber officinale, 237 nucleotides long. RefSeq lists it as uncharacterized. NCBI's taxonomy places the organism in Eukaryota, Viridiplantae, Streptophyta, Magnoliopsida, Zingiberales, Zingiberaceae. The transcript has 3 exons. The record is from RefSeq and is a predicted model, not a curated record.